This 252-nucleotide ribosomal RNA is filed under the name uncultured bacterium. RNAcentral's name for it is "partial 16S ribosomal RNA". It matches the Rfam family "Bacterial small subunit ribosomal RNA", at positions 524 to 776 of the family's 1533-position model. The record is from RNAcentral.
UACGGAGGGUGCAAGCGUUAAUCGGAAUUACUGGGCGUAAAGCGUGCGCAGGCGGUUUGUAAGUCUGUCGUGAAAUCCCCGGGCUCAACCUGGGAAUUGCGAUGGAGACUGCAAGGCUAGAAUCUGGCAGAGGGGGUAGAAUUCCACGUGUGAGCAGUGAAAUGCGUAGAGAUGUGGAGGAACACCGAUGGCGAAGGCAGCCCCUGGGUCAAGAUUGACGCUCCAUGCACGAAAGCGUGGGGAGCAAACAGG